Molecule: transfer RNA, 72 nt
Filed under: Brucella abortus
Lineage: Bacteria; Pseudomonadati; Pseudomonadota; Alphaproteobacteria; Hyphomicrobiales; Brucellaceae
Also listed under: 6 other names
Description: tRNA-Glu
Rfam family: tRNA
About the family: Transfer RNA (tRNA) molecules are approximately 80 nucleotides in length. Their secondary structure includes four short double-helical elements and three loops (D, anti-codon, and T loops). Further hydrogen bonds mediate the characteristic L-shaped molecular structure. tRNAs have two regions of fundamental functional importance: the anti-codon, which is responsible for specific mRNA codon recognition, and the 3' end, to which the tRNAs corresponding amino acid is attached (by aminoacyl-tRNA synthetases). tRNAs cope with the degeneracy of the genetic code in two manners: having more than one tRNA (with a specific anti-codon) for a particular amino acid; and 'wobble' base-pairing, i.e. permitting non-standard base-pairing at the 3rd anti-codon position.
Source: RNAcentral
GCGCCCAUCGUCUAGCGGUUAGGACGCUGCCCUUUCACGGCGGAAACAGGGGUUCGAUUCCCCUUGGGCGUA